RNAcentral lists this ribosomal RNA (465 nucleotides) under Vreelandella stevensii. Its description in RNAcentral is "partial 16S ribosomal RNA". It matches the Rfam family "Bacterial small subunit ribosomal RNA", at positions 338 to 795 of the family's 1533-position model. Lineage: Bacteria; Pseudomonadati; Pseudomonadota; Gammaproteobacteria; Oceanospirillales; Halomonadaceae. The record is from RNAcentral.
CCUACGGGAGGCUGCAGUGGGGAAUAUUGGACAAUGGGGGGAACCCUGAUCCAGCCAUGCCGCGUGUGUGAAGAAGGCCCUCGGGUUGUAAAGCACUUUCAGUGAGGAAGAACGCCUGGUGGUUAAUACCCAUCAGGAAAGACAUCACUCACAGAAGAAGCACCGGCUAACUCCGUGCCAGCAGCCGCGGUAAUACGGAGGGUGCGAGCGUUAAUCGGAAUUACUGGGCGUAAAGCGCGCGUAGGUGGCUUGAUAAGCCGGUUGUGAAAGCCCCGGGCUCAACCUGGGAACGGCAUCCGGAACUGUCAAGCUAGAGGGCAGGAGAGGAAGGUAGAAUUCCCGGUGUAGCGGUGAAAUGCGUAGAGAUCGGGAGGAAUACCAGUGGCGAAGGCGGCCUUCUGGACUGACACUGACACUGAGGUGCGAAAGCGUGGGUAGCAAACAGGAUUAGAUACCCUUGUAGUC